RNAcentral lists this ribosomal RNA (253 nucleotides) under uncultured bacterium. RNAcentral's name for it is "partial 16S ribosomal RNA". It matches the Rfam family "Bacterial small subunit ribosomal RNA", at positions 524 to 776 of the family's 1533-position model. The record is from RNAcentral.
UACAGAGGGGGCCAGCGUUAUUCGGAAUUAUUGGGCGUAAAGGGCGCGUAGGCGGCUUUGCGUGUCUUUCGUGAAAUCCCUCGGCUCAACUGAGGACGUGCGGAAGAAACUGCAGGGCUGGAGUCCGGGAGAGGAGGGUGGAAUUCCCAGUGUAGCGGUGAAAUGCGUAGAUAUUGGGAGGAACACCGGUGGCGAAGGCGGCCCUCUGGACCGGUACUGACGCUGAUGCGCGAAAGCGUGGGGAGCAAAAGGG